AGUCGAACGGCAGCCUGGACUUCAGUCUGGUGGCGAGUGGCGAACGGAGUGAGUAAUGUAUCGGAACGUGCCUAUUGGCGGGGAUAACUACGCGAAAGCGUAGCUAAUGCCUUACGCCCUUCAGAGGAAAGCGGGGGACCUUCGGGCCUGCUAUUAAGAGCGGCCGAUAUCGGAUUAGCUAGUUGGUGGGAUAACGGCUCGCAAAGGGCGACGAUCGUAGCUGGUGGUUUGAAGGACGACCAGCCACACACCGGGACUGAGACACGGCAGACUCCUACGGGAAGGCAGCGAUGAAAUUUUGGACAAUGGGGAAACCUGAUCCAGCCAUCCCGCGUGUGCGAUGAAGGCCUUCGGGUUGUAUGCACUGGCGGAAAGAAACGGCACGGGAUAAUACCCCGUGCAACUGACGGUACCUGCAGAAUGGCACCGGCUAACUACGUGCCAGCAGCCGCGGUAAUACGUAGGGUGCAAGCGUUAAUCGAAUUACUGGGCGUAAAGCGUGCGCAGGCGGUUCGGAAAGAAAGAUGUGUGAAAUCCCGAAGCCCAACUUUGGAGACUGCAUUUUUUUAAUACUGAGCUAGAGUGUGUAGGAGGGGUGGAACUCGCGUGUAGCAGAAGUACAAAAUGCGUAGAUAUGCGGAGGAACCGCAGAUGGCGAAGGCAGCCUCCUGGGAUAACACUGACGCUCAUGCGCGAAAGCGUGGGAGGCAAACGGGAUUAGAUACCCUGGUGGUCCACGCCCUAAACGAUGUCAACUAGCUGUUGGUGCUUCGGGCCUUGGUAGCGCAGCUAACGCGUGAAGUUGACCGCCUGUAGAGUACGGUCACAAGAUUAAAACUCAAAGGAAUUGACGGGGACCCGCACAAGCGGUGGAUGAUGGAUUAAUUCGGUACAACGCGAAAAACCUUACCUACCCUUGACAUGUCUGAAUCCCGAAGAGAUUUGGGAGUGCUGCAAGAGAACCGGAACACAGGUGCUGCAUGGCUGUCGUCAGCUCGUGUCGUGAGAUGUUGGGUUAAGUCCCGCAACGAAGCGCAACCCUUGUCAUUAGUUGCUACGAAAGGAGCACUCUAAUGAGACUGCCGGUGACAAACCGGAGGAAGGUCGGGGAUGACGUCAGAGUCCUCAUGGCCCUUAUGGGUAGGGCUUCACACGUCAUACAAUGGUCGGGACAGAAGGGUCGCCAACCCGCGAGGGGAGCCAAUCCCAGGAAACCCGAUCGUAGUCCGGAUCGCAGUCUGCAACUCGACUGCGUGAUCGGAAUCGCUAGUAAUCGCGGACAGCAUGUCGCGGUGAAUACGUUCCCGGGUCUUGUACACACCGCCCGUCACACCAUGGGGUGGGUUUUGCAAGAAGUAGUUAGCCUAACCGUAAGGAGGGCGAUUACCGCAUUAGGGUCAUGACUGGGGUGAAGUCGUAACAAGGUAG
Molecule: ribosomal RNA, 1428 nt
Filed under: uncultured Bordetella sp.
Lineage: Bacteria; Pseudomonadati; Pseudomonadota; Betaproteobacteria; Burkholderiales; Alcaligenaceae
Description: partial 16S-23S ribosomal RNA intergenic spacer
Rfam family: Bacterial small subunit ribosomal RNA
Source: RNAcentral